AUUUCGGAAAUAGUAUUUCCAUCUCUGGUUCUUUUCACUUUGACGAUUAACGCGUCAUGUGAAGGACCAGUAUUCCGUGUAAGACGGUUUGUUUUAAACCGUCUGCCGAGUGGGGCAAACGGUUAGCUUGCUAAACAGUAGCUUGUUUGAGCCGCACGGUUUGCACAUUUAAACCAGUUCUGACUGCACGUAUCGCUUCAGUCAGCGUUUUGUGAUUUGGCCUCGAAGUAUGUGCACGAAGACCCUUUGGUUUGAGUGAUCCAAACACUUCGGGUGUUGCAACGUUAGCCACGUGUUUGUGAAGCAGCGACUUGUGUGGGGAACGUUUCCGUCAGAGUGAUAGUUGCACUUUGCAGCUCAUUGUAACGAUGAGAUAGUAAUGAAGAAGACGGCACAUUAUUAUCGGGGGUGUAGCAGCAGACCCAUAUCGCCAUCAACUGGGCCGGUGGACUCCACGACGCCAAGCAGUCCGAAGCAUCUGGUUUGUGUUACGUGAAUGACAUCGUCCAAGACAUCGGGACUGGAAAGGGCAAAUACCACGCAGUGAAUGACCCACUCGGAGAUGGUAUCGACGAGAGGUCCUACGAAACCAUCUCUAACCCGGCAAGUGUGUUUUACUAUCAUGGCCAAGUAACGGAGAUGUACCAGCUGAGCGCAGUGGUCCUUCAGUGUGGCGCCGAUUGAACGUCACUAUUAAAGGCCCCGCCAGUGAGCAACCAUUUUAGUUUGAGUCCACGACCAAAGAAUAGCCUGUGAGGAGGACGUUGCAGUAAUGCUGCCAACCAAGGG
Molecule: RNA transcript, 789 nt
Organism: Cynoglossus semilaevis (tongue sole)
Lineage: Eukaryota; Metazoa; Chordata; Actinopteri; Pleuronectiformes; Cynoglossidae
Gene name: probable histone deacetylase 1-B
Exons: 5
Source: RefSeq, a predicted model, not a curated record